This 118-nucleotide ribosomal RNA is filed under the name Vigna glabrescens. Lineage: Eukaryota; Viridiplantae; Streptophyta; Magnoliopsida; Fabales; Fabaceae. The record is from RNAcentral.
AGGUGCGAUCAUACCAGCACUAAUGCACCGGAUCCCAUCAGAACUCCGCAGUUAAGCGUGUUUGGGCGAGAGUAGUACUAGGAUGGGUGACCUCCUGGGAAGUCCUCGUGUUGCACCU